AGAGUUUGAUCAUGGCUCAGAUUGAACGCUGGCGGCAGGCCUAACACAUGCAAGUCGAACGGUAACAGGAAGAAGCUUGCUUCUUUGCUGACGAGUGGCGGACGGGUGAGUAAUGUCUGGGAAACUGCCUGAUGGAGGGGGAUAACUACUGGAAACGGUAGCUAAUACCGCAUAACGUCGCAAGACCAAAGAGGGGGACCUUCGGGCCUCUUGCCAUCGGAUGUGCCCAGAUGGGAUUAGCUAGUAGGUGGGGUAACGGCUCACCUAGGCGACGAUCCCUAGCUGGUCUGAGAGGAUGACCAGCCACACUGGAACUGAGACACGGUCCAGACUCCUACGGGAGGUAGCAGUGGGGAAUAUUGCACAAUGGGCGCAAGCCUGAUGCAGCCAUGCCGCGUGUAUGAAGAAGGCCUUCGGGUUGUAAAGUACUUUCAGCGGGGAGGAAGGGAGUAAAGUUAAUACCUUUGCUCAUUGACGUUACCCGCAGAAGAAGCACCGGCUAACUCCGUGCCAGCAGCCGCGGUAAUACGGAGGGUGCAAGCGUUAAUCAGAAUUACUGGGCGUAAAGCGCACGCAGGCGGUUUGUUAAGUCAGAUGUGAAAUCCCCGGGCUCAACCUGGGGACUGCGUCUGAUACUGGCAAGCUUGAGUCUCGUAGAGGGGGGUAGAAUUCCAGGUGUAGCGGUGAAAUGCGUAGAGAUCUGGAGGAAUACCGGUGGCGAAGGCGGCCCCCUGGACGAAGACUGACGCUCAGGUGCGAAGGCGUGGGGAGCAAACAGGAUUAGAUACCCUGGUAGUCCACGCCGUAAACGAUGUCGACUUGGAGGUUGUGCCCUUGAGGCGUGGCUUCCGGAGCUAACGCGUUAAGUCGACCGCCUGGGGAGUACGGCCGCAAGGUUAAAACUCAAAUGAAUUGACGGGGGCCCGCACAAGCGGUGGAGCAUGUGGUUUAAUUCGAUGCAACGCGAAGAACCUUACCUGGUCUUGACAUCCACGGAAGUUUUCAGAGAUGAGAAUGUGCCUUCGGGAACCGUGAGACAGGUGCUGCAUGGCUGUCGUCAGCUCGUGUUGUGAAAUGUUGGGUUAAGUCCCGCAACGAGCGCAACCCUUAUCCUUUGUUGCCAGCGGUCCGGCCGGGAACUCAAAGGAGACUGCCAGUGAUAAACUGGAGGAAGGUGGGGACGACGUCAAGUCAUCAUGGCCCUUACGACCAGGGCUACACACGUGCUACAAUGGCGCAUACAAAGAGAAGCGACCUCGCGAGAGCAAGCGGACCUCAUAAAGUGCGUCGUAGUCCGGAUUGGAGUCUGCAACUCGACUCCAUGAAGUCGGAAUCGCUAGUAAUCGUGGAUCAGAAUGCCACGGUGAAUACGUUCCCGGGCCUUGUACACACCGCCCGUCACACCAUGGGAGUGGGUUGCAAAAGAAGUAGGUAGCUUAACCUUCGGGAGGGCGCUUACCACUUUGUGAUUCAUGACUGGGGUGAAGUCGUAACAAGGUA
RNAcentral lists this ribosomal RNA (1500 nucleotides) under metagenome. RNAcentral's name for it is "bacterial SSU rRNA". It matches the Rfam family "Bacterial small subunit ribosomal RNA". The record is from RNAcentral.